GUUGAACGCUGGCGGCGUGCCUAAUACAUGCAAGUCGAGCGAACAGACGAGGAGUUUGCUCCUCUGACGUUAGCGGCGGACGGGUGAGUAACACGUGGAUAACCUACCUAUAAGACUGGGAUAACUUCGGGAAACCGGAGCUAAUACCGGACAAUAUAUUGAACCGCAUGGUUCAUCAGUGAAAGACGGUUUUGCUGUCACUUAUAGAUGGAUCCGCGCCGCAUUAGCUAGUUGGUAAGGUAACGGCUUACCAAGGCAACGAUGCGUAGCCGACCUGAGAGGGUGAUCGGCCACACUGGAACUGAGACACGGUCCAGACUCCUACGGGAGGCAGCAGUAGGGAAUCUUCCGCAAUGGGCGAAAGCCUGACGGAGCAACGCCGCGUGAGUGAUGAAGGUCUUCGGAUCGUAAAACUCUGUUAUUAGGGAAGAACAAAUGUGUAAGUAACUAUGCACGUCUUGACGGUACCUAAACAGAAAGCCACGGCUAACUACGUG
RNAcentral lists this ribosomal RNA (497 nucleotides) under uncultured bacterium. Its description in RNAcentral is "partial 16S ribosomal RNA". It matches the Rfam family "Bacterial small subunit ribosomal RNA", at positions 28 to 507 of the family's 1533-position model. The record is from RNAcentral.